This 1014-nucleotide ribosomal RNA is filed under the name Halictophagus sp. 2 DPM-2011. RNAcentral describes it as "partial 16S large subunit ribosomal RNA". Lineage: Eukaryota; Metazoa; Arthropoda; Insecta; Strepsiptera; Halictophagidae. The record is from RNAcentral.
AUUUUUAGUAUAUAUAAGAAAAAUUUAAUUUCUUAAUAGUAUAAUAGUAUGGUAAAAGAAUAAUUUUAAUUUUAUAAAGAAUAUUUUAUUAAUAGUAUCUUUUGUAUCAGAGUUAAUCAAUAAUAAUUUAAUUAUUUAAAUAUUUUGAAUUUUUUUGAUCAAUAAAAAUAAUUUAGUUAAUGUUUCAUAAUUAUUAAAAAUAUUUUUAUAGGAAUUAAAGGUUAAUCGUUAAAAAAUAUAUCUAAUUUUUUAAGAAAUUAAUUUAAUUAAUAAUUUAUUAAAAUAGAAUUAUUUUUUUUUAUUAAAAUUUUAAUAAAUUUAAGAUUUUUAGGGAUAAGCUUAAAAAUUAUUUUAAAUAAUUUUUUUUAAAUUUUUAAAUAAUAGAAUUAAUAUUGUUCAUUUAUUUAUAUUUUUUUAUUAAAAAUUAAUUUUUAUUAAAAAAUUUUAAAAUAAUUAUUAGAUUUUUUAUUAAAAAAUUAUUUUAAAUUGAUUAAAUUAAGUUAAAAUGAUUAAAUUAGUAUAAAAAAUUUUAUAAAUUAAUUUAUUAAAAAUUUAAUUAAAAUGAAUUCGGCAAUUUAAUUUUUACCUGUUUAUCAAAAACAUGUCUGUUUGUAAUGAAUAAAUAGUCAAAUCUGCCCAUUGAAAUUUUAAAGGCUGCAGUAUAUUAACUGUACAAAGGUAGCAUAAUCAUUAGUUUUUUAAUUGAAAACUUGUAUGAAGGAUUUAAUAAAAAAUUAACUUUAUUUUAUUUAUUUUAUGAAAUUUUUAUUUAAGUGAAAAAACUUAAAUUAAUAAAAAAGACAAUAAGACCCUAUAAAACUUUAUUUAUUAAAUUAUUUAUAAUUAUUUAAAUUUAGUUGGGGAAAUUAUUAGAUAAGUAUAAUUCUAAAAAAAUUAUUUUAUUAAAAUAAUAAUUAAAGAUCUUUUAUUAAAAGAUUGAUGAUUAAGUUGCUUUAGGGAUAACAGCGUUAUAAUUUAUUAUAGUUCUUAUUUAAUAAAUUGAUUGCGACCUCG